GAUGAACGCUGGCGGCGUGCUUAACACAUGCAAGUCGAACGGUGAAGCAGAGCUUGCUCUGUGGAUCAGUGGCGAACGGGUGAGUAACACGUGAGCAACCUGCCCCUGACUCUGGGAUAAGCGCUGGAAACGGCGUCUAAUACUGGAUAUGAGCUGCGACCGCAUGGUCAGCAGUUGGAAAGAUUUUUCGGUCUGGGAUGGGCUCACGGCCUAUCAGCUUGUUGGUGUGGUAAUGGCUCACCAAGGCGUCGACGGGUAGCCGGCCUGAGAGGGUGGCCGGGCACACUGGGACUGAGACACGGCCCAGACUCCUACGGGAGGCAGCAGUGGGGAAUAUUGCACAAUGGGCGAAAGCCUGAUGCAGCAACGCCGCGUGAGGGAUGACGGCCUUCGGGUUGUAAACCUCUUUUAGCAGGGAAGAAGCGAAAGUGACGGUACCUGCAGAAAAAGCGCCGGCUAACUACGUG
This 467-nucleotide ribosomal RNA is filed under the name uncultured bacterium. Its description in RNAcentral is "partial 16S ribosomal RNA". It matches the Rfam family "Bacterial small subunit ribosomal RNA", at positions 28 to 507 of the family's 1533-position model. The record is from RNAcentral.